This 459-nucleotide ribosomal RNA is filed under the name uncultured bacterium. RNAcentral describes it as "partial 16S ribosomal RNA". It matches the Rfam family "Bacterial small subunit ribosomal RNA", at positions 338 to 795 of the family's 1533-position model. The record is from RNAcentral.
CCUACGGGAGGCAGCAGUGAGGAAUAUUGGUCAAUGGCGCGAGCCUGAACCAGCCAAGUAGCGUGAAGGAUGACUGCCCUACGGGUUGUUAACUUCUUUUUUUAAGGAAUAAAGUGAGGCCCGUGUGCCUUUUUGUAUGUAUUUUUUGAAUAAGGAUCGGCGUACUCCGUGCCAGCAGCCGCGGUAAUACGGAGGAUCCGAGCGUUAUCCGGGUUUAUUGGGUUUAAAGGGAGCGUAGAUGGGUUGUUAAGUCAGUUGUGAAAGUUUGCGGCUCAACCGUAAAAUUGCAAUUGAUACUGGCAGCCUUGAGUACAGUUGAGGUAGGCGGAAUUCGUGGUGUAGCGGUGAAAUGCUUAGAUAUCACGAAGAACUCCGAUUGCGAAGGCAGCCUACUAAACUGCCACUGACAUUGAUGCUCGAAAGUGUGGGUAUCAAACAGGAUUAGAUACCCGUGUAGUC